UCCGGUUGAUCCUGCCGGAGGUUACUGCUAUCGAGGUUCGACUAAGCCAUGCGAGUCGAAUGUAGCAAUACAUGGCGUACUGCUCAGUAACACGUGGACAACCUACCCUUGAGACGGGGAUAAACCCGGGAAACUGGGUAUAAUACCCGAUAGAUCUCGACUGCUGGAAUGCAUCGAGCUCCAAAGCUCCGGCGCUCAAGGAUGGGUCUGCGGCCUAUCAGGUAGUAGUGGGUGUAGCGUACCUACUAGCCUACGACGGGUACGGGUUGUGAGAGCAAGAGCCCGGAGAUGGAUUCUGAGACACGAAUCCAGGCCCUACGGGGUGCAGCAGGCGCGAAAACUUUACAAUGCUGGAAACAGCGAUAAGGGGACCUCGAGUGCCAGGUUACAAAUCUGGCUGUCGUGAUGCCUAAAAAGCAUUGCAUAGCAAGGGCCGGGCAAGACCGGUGCCAGCCGCCGCGGUAACACCGGCGGCUCGAGUGGUAACCGUUGUUAUUGGGUCUAAAGGGUCUGUAGCCGGCCGGAUAAGUCUCUUGGGAAAUCUGGCAGCUUAACUGUCAGGCUUUCAGGAGAUACUGUCUGGCUUGAGGCCGGGAGAGGUGAGAGGUACUUCANGGGUAGGGGUGAAAUCUUGUAAUCCUUGAAGGACCACCAGUGGCGAAAGCGUCUCACCAGAACGGACCUGACGGCAAGGGACGAAAGCUAGGGGCACGAACCGGAUUAGAUACCCGGGUAGUCCUAGCCGUAAACGAUACUCGCUAGGUGUCGGCCACGGUGCGACCGUUGUCGGUGCCGUAGGGAAGCCGUGAAGCGAGCCACCUGGGAAGUACGGCCGCAAGGCUGAAACUUAAANAAUUGGCGGG
This 863-nucleotide ribosomal RNA is filed under the name uncultured archaeon. RNAcentral's name for it is "bacterial SSU rRNA". It matches the Rfam family "Archaeal small subunit ribosomal RNA", at positions 1 to 872 of the family's 1478-position model. The record is from RNAcentral.